RNAcentral lists this ribosomal RNA (445 nucleotides) under uncultured bacterium. Its description in RNAcentral is "partial 16S ribosomal RNA". It matches the Rfam family "Bacterial small subunit ribosomal RNA", at positions 354 to 796 of the family's 1533-position model. The record is from RNAcentral.
GUGAGGAAUAUUGGUCAAUGGGCGGGAGCCUGAACCAGCCAAGUCGCGUGAAGGAAGAAGGAUCUAUGGUUCGUAAACUUCUUUUGCAGGGGAAUAAAGUGCAGGACGUGUCCUGUUUUGUAUGUACCCUGAGAAUAAGGAUCGGCUAACUCCGUGCCAGCAGCCGCGGUAAUACGGAGGAUCCGAGCGUUAUCCGGAUUUAUUGGGUUUAAAGGGUGCGGAGGUGGUUUGAUAAGUCAGCGGUGAAAGUUUGCAGCUUAACUGUAAAAAUGCCGUUGAAACUGUCGGACUUGAGUGUAAAUGAGGUAGGCGGAAUGCGUGGUGUAGCGGUGAAAUGCAUAGAUAUCACGCAGAACUCCGAUUGCGAAGGCAGCUUACUAAGCUACAACUGACACUGAAGCACGAAAGCGUGGGGAUCAAACAGGAUUAGAAACCCCGGUAGUCC